This 463-nucleotide ribosomal RNA is filed under the name uncultured bacterium. RNAcentral describes it as "bacterial SSU rRNA". It matches the Rfam family "Bacterial small subunit ribosomal RNA", at positions 331 to 792 of the family's 1533-position model. The record is from RNAcentral.
CCAGACUCCUACGGGAGGCAGCAGUGAGGAAUAUUGGUCAAUGGUCGGGAGACUGAACCAGCCAAGCCGCGUGAGGGAUGAAGGUACAGAGUAUCGUAAACCUCUUUUGUCAGGGAACAAAGGCGGGGACGUGUCCCCGGAUGAGUGUACCUGAAGAAAAAGCAUCGGCUAACUCCGUGCCAGCAGCCGCGGUAAUACGGAGGAUGCGAGCGUUAUCCGGAUUUAUUGGGUUUAAAGGGUGCGUAGGCGGCCUGGAAAGUCAGCGGUAAAAUCGAGAGGCUCAACCUCUUUCCGCCGUUGAAACUGUCGGUCUUGAGUGGGCGAGAAGUAUGCGGAAUGCGUGGUGUAGCGGUGAAAUGCUUAGAUAUCACGAAGAACUCCGAUUGCGAAGGCAGCCUACUAAACUGCCACUGACAUUGAUGCUCGAAAGUGUGGGUAUCAAACAGGAUUAGAUACCCUCGUA